GACGAACGCUGGCGGCGUGCUUAACACAUGCAAGUCGAACGGAAAGGCUCCAUCUUGCUGGAGUCCUCGAGUGGCGAACGGGUGAGUAACACGUGGGUAAUCUGCCCUGCACUCUGGGAUAAGCCUGGGAAACUGGGUCUAAUACUGGAUAUGACCUUUCUCCUUAUGGGGUUUGGUGGAAAGUUUUUCGGUGUAGGAUGAGACCGCGGCCUAUCAGCUUGUUGGUGGGGUGAUGGCCUACCAAGGCGACGACGGGUAGCCGGCCUGAGAGGGUGAUCGGACACAUUGGGACUGAGCUACGGCCCAGACUCCUACGGGAGGCAGCAGUGGGGAAUAUUGCACAAUGGGCGGAAGCCUGAUGCAGCGACGCCGCGUGAGGGAUGACGGCAUUCGGGUUGUAAACCUCUUUCCGCAGGGACGAAGCGUAAGUGACGGUACCUGCAGAAGAAGCACCGGCUAACUACGUG
Molecule: ribosomal RNA, 467 nt
Filed under: uncultured bacterium
Lineage: Bacteria
Description: partial 16S ribosomal RNA
Rfam family: Bacterial small subunit ribosomal RNA
Source: RNAcentral